UGUAUAAAGCAAUCUAAUCACUUACGUAAGUCCGAAUUAAAAAUAAUUUAAAUUGUAAUUUGACCAAUACACUUUCCAAAUUUAACAAAGGCCUUGAUGUGUGCUUGGCUUAGGUUGGUUACAUUGAUACAAAAUUGAAAUUUAUCUUAGGAAGCAUGAGAGUUUGUCUUAUAAAGAGGUUCAUUUUGUUUACUUGAACAGGUGUUCUUCUUUUAUGUUUUAUUUUGGUUAAGGAUCAUAUACGUUUUAUGAAUUUUUAGCAAUCAUGUUUUGAAACAAUAGUGUUGCUUAUUUAUGGUCUGGAACAGUGUCUGUUGUCCUUUCUUUACAUAUUAG
This 336-nucleotide unclassified non-coding RNA is filed under the name Hevea brasiliensis (rubber tree). Lineage: Eukaryota; Viridiplantae; Streptophyta; Magnoliopsida; Malpighiales; Euphorbiaceae. The record is from RNAcentral.